This 427-nucleotide ribosomal RNA is filed under the name uncultured bacterium. Its description in RNAcentral is "partial 16S ribosomal RNA". It matches the Rfam family "Bacterial small subunit ribosomal RNA", at positions 355 to 774 of the family's 1533-position model. The record is from RNAcentral.
UGGGGAAUAUUGGACAAUGGGCGAAAGCCUGAUCCAGCCAUGCCGCGUGUGUGAAGAAGGUCUUCGGAUUGUAAAGCACUUUAAGUUGGGAGGAAGGGCAUUAACCUAAUACGUUAGUGUUUUGACGUUACCGACAGAAUAAGCACCGGCUAACUCUGUGCCAGCAGCCGCGGUAAUACAGAGGGUGAAAGCGUUAAUCGGAAUUACUGGGCGUAAAGCGCGCGUAGGUGGUUUGUUAAGUUGGAUGGGAAAUCCCCGGGCUCAACCUGGGAACUGCAUUCAAAACUGACUGACUAGAGUAUGGUAGAGGGUGGUGGAAGUUCCUGUGUAGCGGUGAAAUGCGUAGAUAUAGGAAGGAACACCAGUGGCGAAGGCGACCACCUGGACUAAUACUGACACUGAAGUGCGAAAGCGUGGGGAGCAAACA